GCUAUGAUCAGUAGGGGGCAAUGAGAGUUGGGAGCCCCGAGAAGGGCACUGAGACAAGGGCCCCUAGCCCUACGGGGUGCAGCAGGUGCGAAAUCUCCACAAUACGCGAAAGCGUGAUGGGGCUAGUCAGAGUGUUCAAGCUUAGCUUGAACUGUGGCGGAGCGUAAGAUACUCCACAAGAAAGGGGUGGGCAAUACCGGUGCCAGCAGCCGCGGUAACCCCGGAGCCCCAAGUGGUUGCCAUAUUUAUUGGGCCUAAAGCAUCCGUAGCCGGACUAGAAGGUCUCUCGUGAAAUCGUCCCCCCUGAAGGAACGGCGUGCGAGAGAUACCACUAGUCUAGGAAUCGGGAGGGGUCGGAGGUACUGCAGGGGUAGGGGUGAAAUCCUGUAAUCCUUGCCGGACCACCUGUGGCGAAGGCGUCCGACUGGAACGAGUUCGACGGUGAAGGAUGAAAGCCAGGGUAACCAACCGGAUUAGAUACCCGGGUAGUCCUGGCCGUAAACC
This 504-nucleotide ribosomal RNA is filed under the name uncultured euryarchaeote. RNAcentral's name for it is "bacterial SSU rRNA". It matches the Rfam family "Archaeal small subunit ribosomal RNA", at positions 257 to 759 of the family's 1478-position model. The record is from RNAcentral. Lineage: Archaea; Methanobacteriati; Methanobacteriota.